AGUGAACGCUGGCGGUAGGCCUAACACAUGCAAGUCGAACGGCAGCACAGUAAGAGCUUGCUCUUACGGGUGGCGAGUGGCGGACGGGUGAGGAAUACAUCGGAAUCUACUUUUUCGUGGGGGAGAACGUAGGGAAACUUACGCUAAUACCGCAUACGACCUACGGGUGAAAGCAGGGGAUCUUCGGACCUUGCGCGAUUGAAUGAGCCGAUGUCGGAUUAGCUAGUUGGCGGGGCAAAGGCCCACCAAGGCGACGAUCCGUAGCUGGUCUGAGAGGAUGAUCAGCCACACUGGAACUGAGACACGGUCCAGACUCCUACGGGAGGCAGCAGUGGGGAAUAUUGGACAAUGGGCGCAAGCCUGAUCCAGCCAUACCGCGUGGGUGAAGAAGGCCUUCGGGUUGUAAAGCCCUUUUGUUGGGAAAGAAAAGCAGCAGGUUAAUACCCCGCUGUUCUGACGGUACCCAAAGAAUAAGCACCGGCUAACUUCGUG
Molecule: ribosomal RNA, 492 nt
Filed under: uncultured bacterium
Lineage: Bacteria
Description: partial 16S ribosomal RNA
Rfam family: Bacterial small subunit ribosomal RNA
Source: RNAcentral